Molecule: long non-coding RNA, 1105 nt
Organism: Cuculus canorus (common cuckoo)
Lineage: Eukaryota; Metazoa; Chordata; Aves; Cuculiformes; Cuculidae
Exons: 3
Source: RefSeq, a predicted model, not a curated record
CCCAGCCUCUCUCAGGUUGGAUGGAGCACUGGGACAGCUGCCCAGGGCAGUGGUGGAGUCCCCAUCCUGUGAGGGAUUUAAAAGCCAGGCAGACAAAGUGCUCAGGGAUGGUUUAGUAGUGAACAGCCCAGGGAGACGAUUGGACUGUGUCAAUUGUGAGGCUGCCAUCAGUCACAGCUUUGAUGGGGUUUGCCCGAAACACAAGCUGGAGGAGAAAGUGAAGCGGGGCUUUAGCCAGGGAUUUGUGCAGCUCAAUCCGUGCUCUGACCCUGACAGCCAUCCCAAAAAAACAUGCACUCGUAUGACCUCCCCAUGGUGGGGACGAUAAGGACAGAGCAGCAGCUGAAGCCGUCUCUGACAAGCGUCAGAGCAGGACCAGCACCAGGGAGAGGCCACUAGCCCAGCGCUUCUUUGGGCAGAUGUCUGGAAGGAAAUCAGCUGGGAAAAGUGAAACAUGGAGCUGGGUCAUUGUCACCAAGGGCUUACUGCAUCGAGCAAGGAAUGUGUGGUGGCACUGGAUGGUGUCUGGGUCAUGAGCUCAAAUCCCUUCUGAGACUUCAAAUGCUGCCUCUGGAAUCGUGAUCCCAUCUAACCUUUCUGCAGUCACCAGGCUGUUAUUCUGAGCAUCCUUCUUAUAUCCUCUGUGCUUCUUGGCUUAAAACUCUUCCCCCAAAGCCCUCGAGUUGCUUUUCCAGAUCCCAUGGUUGAGGUUUCAGACUGCUAAGGCUGCAACAGCAUUUUCUCCUGAGGGCGAUGGCAAAGCUGCUGCACCAGCUGGAGUCCCCGGCAGCACUGGGAUUCUCCAUGACUGCUGGCGAUGCUCAUGGCUGCGGGUGUUUAAUACCACAUUGCCUGGAGCGGAUUCCCCUUGGAUUCACCUGCAGUGAGUCUGAGCUCACGGGCAGAGUGAUGGAUACAGGCACCACAUACUAAGAGGAUUCUGGAAGCCACCCAGGCACUGGCAGUGGGGCACUGUGAGAUGAAUUCCACCUUAUCCCUGUGUCUCCUCCUUCUCUCACUCUUUCCCAGCCGCACAAGUGGCAGCAGAAGUGUUUGACUGUGGUGGUGGGGCAUUGCUGAGGGGCACUGCGUGAGCAGUGCUUAG